This 444-nucleotide ribosomal RNA is filed under the name uncultured eukaryote. RNAcentral describes it as "bacterial SSU rRNA". It matches the Rfam family "Eukaryotic small subunit ribosomal RNA", at positions 430 to 877 of the family's 1831-position model. The record is from RNAcentral.
AGGCGCGACAAAUUACCAAUCCAGGUACGGGGAGGUAGUGAACGAAAAAUAACAAUACGGACUGCACUUAUGUGUGUUCGUAAUUGGAAUGAGAACAGUUUAAAUCCUUUAUCGAGGAUCCAUUGGAGGGCAAGUCUGGUGCCAGCAGCCGCGGCAAUUCCAGCUCCAAUAGCGUAUAUUAAAGUUGUUGUGGUUAAAAAGCUCGUAGUUGGAUCUCAGUUCGCGCCGGGCGGUGUGCCUUUCGGGCACUACUGCUCCGGCCGGACACUUGCCAUCGUCGUGCUGCGGUGCCCUUCAUCGGGUGUCGUAGUCGGUUGGCUGUUUACUUUGAAAAAUUAGAGUGCUCAAAGCAGGCUUGUGCCUGAAUAAUGUUGCAUGGAAUAAUGAAAUAGGACCUUGGUUCUAUUUUGUUGGUCUUCGGAGCCGAGGUAAUGAUUAAGAGGG